Molecule: RNA transcript, 1678 nt
Organism: Brachypodium distachyon (stiff brome)
Lineage: Eukaryota; Viridiplantae; Streptophyta; Magnoliopsida; Poales; Poaceae
Gene name: probable serine/threonine-protein kinase PBL28
Exons: 8
Source: RefSeq, a predicted model, not a curated record
AAAUUCGCCCCGCUGCUUCUAAGUGAGUGCAGGGAACUUCAUUCAGGAUGGAGAAAGCGGCGCUUUGGCUGGUUCUGAUCUCGGUGGCCUCGCUUCGCUGCAAUGGCGAUCCCGAUUUUGUCACAGAAGGGCAGUACAUCAAGAUCAAACGCAGCUUGUUCGCGAUGCUGAUAGUAUUCGCGGUGAUGGUGUUCGCCCUGGCCAUCGUAAUCCUCAAAUACCUGCGGCCGGGGAAGAGAUCCGCGGACGAGACCAUCUCCGGCGGCUCCUCCGCCGACAACAAGUUCCGCGGCGGGGAGGUGAUCAACCGGUGGUCGGGGCUGUACAGGUUCACCAAGGCGGAGAUCGAGAGGGCGAUGGACUACGCCAACAACCGGAUCUACCUCGGCUCCGGCAGCGCCGGGCAGGUUUACCAGGGGGUGCUCCCCAGCGGCCAGCUCGUCGCCAUCAAGCACAUCCACCGGACCGCCAUGUCCGGGUCCUUCACCAGGGAGGCGGAUGGACUCUCCAAGGUCCGGCACCCCAACCUCGUCUGCCUCUUUGGGUACUGCGACGACGGCACCGACCAGUACUUGGUAUAUGAGUACUGCGCCAACGGCAACCUGGCCCAGAAUCUACUCAGAAGUGACUCUGUGCUCCCAUGGCCAACAAGAGUGAAGAUCCUAAGGGACUGUGCAUCUGUCCUGAGGUUUCUUCACACACACUCUGAUGGAUGCAUUGUACAUAGGGACAUUAAGCUUACCAACAUCUUGCUGACGGAGAACAUGGAGCCCAAGUUGUCUGAUUUUGGGCUGGCAAAAUUGCUGGCAAUGGAGGAGACCAAGGUGUUCACGGAUGUGAGGGGAACCAUCGGUUACAUGGAUCCUGAGUACAUCACACAUUCCAAGCUCACUUGUUCAAGCGACAUCUACAGCUUUGGUGUGGUUGUGCUGCAGCUUCUGUCAGGAAGGAAGGUCAUAGAACUCGACAUUGUCGCGCGCGAUUCUCUUACAAAGAAGGCCAAGGACGUCGUAAGUGGGAAAAAACCAUUGGAUGAAUUCAUAGACAACCGCAUUCGAGAUGAAGUUAACAUCGAAGAUUUUGUGCUGAUAUUAAAGAUAGCAGUCCUCUGCGUGGCACACUCUAGCGUAGGGCGUCCGACAAUAAAGGAUGUGUAUGAGGAGAUGGACAAAGCAUGGAGAAAUACAAUCACAAAGGCUGCUAGGGCAAGGAAUGAGAUAAGCUCGUCAAAUACAGUCCAUUAUCCGAAAGUCAUCGAUGUAUAGUGCACCCAUUUUGUCCAAGGAAAGAUUGAAAGAAAAAUAAUGGUGUCGAAUCUGAAAGGGCUAUUCACAUGGACACAUGAAGUGCGUAGAAUUAAGUUAGACAUCCUUUUAAACAUGAUACAAUCUCAAGGGCGAACGGCCAGAUGCCUGCAUUUGAUUGACAAUUUCAAAGUGCAAACACUUCAUUGGUCAUUGACGCUCGAAGUUGGUCACAACAGCAACAAGAUGAGGGUGGCAGUGGCAAUCAGAACAGAUCUUUUAGCACUAUCUGGUUGUAGUGGCAUCCUUCUAAGAUAUGUACAUAUCCUCGUCUGUCUGUGUGUAUGUAUCGAGAUGCGAGUUUUGUAUUUUUCUCAAAAAUAUAUUCGUGUGCUAUUAUUAUUAUCUGUAGUAUCCUUUUGUGGCUACUUACA